AGUGAACGCUGGCGGUAGGCCUAACACAUGCAAGUCGAACGGCAGCACAGUAAGAGCUUGCUCUUACGGGUGGCGAGUGGCGGACGGGUGAGGAAUACAUCGGAAUCUACUUUUUCGUGGGGGAUAACGUAGGGAAACGUACGCUAAUACCGCAUACGACCUACGGGUGAAAGCAGGGGAUCUUCGGACCUUGCGGGAUUGAAUGAGCCGAUGUCGGAUUAGCUAGUUGGCGGGGUAAAGGCCCACCAAGGCGACGAUCCGUAGCUGGUCUGAGAGGAUGAUCAGCCACACUGGAACUGAGACACGGUCCAGACUCCUACGGGAGGCAGCAGUGGGGAAUAUUGCACAAUGGGCGCAAGCCUGAUCCAGCCAUACCGCGUGGGUGAAGAAGGACUUCGGGUUGUAAAGCCCUUUUGUUGGGAAAGAAAAGCAGCAGGUUAAUCCCCCGCUGUUCUGACGGUACCCAAAGAAUAAGCACCGGCUAACUUCGUG
RNAcentral lists this ribosomal RNA (492 nucleotides) under uncultured bacterium. RNAcentral's name for it is "partial 16S ribosomal RNA". It matches the Rfam family "Bacterial small subunit ribosomal RNA", at positions 29 to 507 of the family's 1533-position model. The record is from RNAcentral.